This is a long non-coding RNA of Passer domesticus (house sparrow), 1110 nucleotides long. RefSeq lists it as uncharacterized. The transcript has 2 exons. The record is from RefSeq and is a predicted model, not a curated record. NCBI's taxonomy places the organism in Eukaryota, Metazoa, Chordata, Aves, Passeriformes, Passeridae.
GGGAAGGCGGUGCUGCGCCCCGCUGCGCCCCACGGCACCAGCCGCUCCGUCGCAAGGAUGCCCGAGGAGUGCUGCAGAGGUGUGGGAUCAGAUGGAGGAAAAGAGGAAGCAAUCCUAAAAUGAAUGGGCUGUCUGGACUAGAGCCACCAAGAGUGAAGUCAGCAAAACUGAGCAGUAAGUGGGAAAAAGAUAAUCCCAGCAAUGGGCAAUCGUGACUGCUGACUCAUUGACCACCCACUCAAAACGGAGCCUGGACUCAAAUGGAAGAAAGAAUUGGACUAAUUAUCAUCAGAAGUGAGAGCAAACUAGCAAAUAAGGAGUUGAGCAUUAAUGGAUAGCAAGAUUAUGUAAUUUGUAACUAAUGAAUGCUGAUGCUUUUGUUUGUUGAAAUUUAUAAAUAUUGUAAAGUUUUGAUUAUUUUGAGCAUUUUGUGUAUUACCACCCAGCUCCCUACUUGGAGCAAACUAGAAUAAAAAAUAUAAAUACCUUGCCUCAAUGUGUGAAUUGAUGCUGCACAGGUAACGAGCCUGUGUUCAGGACAACACAAGGACCAAAGGGAAGGAACUUCCCUGACUGUGGCUUUACUUAGAUGAAGUGUGGCAUGAAAGUGAGGAUCUCCUAUGGUGACCUGAUGAUGCAUCCCUCCAGUUGCCACCGGGAGGCCAAGUACCACACCAGUGCCAGAGCAGACACAGCUGAUAACCCAGCUCCUCUGGAAUGGUGGCGCUCUAUGUAAAUCCCGGCAGUUGCGGGCUCUUUGGGAAUCCUGGCCUUCUUUAGUGUUGACAGUUGUUAGUGUUGGCUGUUUUGGAAUCACGGCAGCCUGGGUUUAGUGUUGAUUUCUGCUUUUGCCUCCAGGUGCUGGGAAAAGAUUUCAAGCAGCAUUUGUCACAGAAUUGCAGAAUUGGGCAGAUUGGAACGUACCACAGUGGAUCUGUUCCUAUUUCCCUGCUCACGCAGUGUUAUCCCAGAGUACAUUGUGUCCAGAUGGUUUUUGAAUAUCUUCAGGAAGGGACACUCCACAACCUUUCUGAGCAAUUUGUUCCAGGGCUCAGUCACUCUCACAUUAAGAACUUUCUCAUAUUCUGGUGGAACUUCCUGUGCAUCACU